AUUACAAGAGCACCUCCUCCCCCAACCCCAGGAGGCCCCGCUCCCCAGGCCUCGGCCGGCGCGGACCCCUGGUUGCCCCGGGGUCGAGAGCAGCCGGGGAGAGCUGAGUUCAGAGCCCAGAGUUGGACAUCAGGCCACACGCUGAGAGGGGCCCCAUGCUGCUUAGUGGCCGAUUUGCAGGGAAUCUGGGCACAAUCUUAAUAACACCAGGGCCAAAAAUAACAACGUUCCUGGGAACCGAGCAGCUGGAGCGCACCCCAUGGACGCUGGGCCAUCUCCCCGGGGACUAGUGCCUGACAGAGCUGACAGAGUUCUAGGCCACAUGUGGGCUAGAAGGAACCGCCAUGUCUACCACAGCACAGUCCUUAAGCAGGAGCCUUUUGAAGCACUUGGACUCAAAACAAUGGCUGUUUGUUGUUGUUGUUGUUGUUGUUUGUUUGUUUUGAGGGAGCCAGAAAGCUAAAAAAUGUAAAAGAAGCAGGUCACAUUAGACAUGAUUUCAGACAGCCUCCCCGAAGGACAGAUGAUCUCACUUGGCAACACAUACUGGGCCAGGCUCACUCAUGAGGGGGCAGCGUGGCAUGCACCCCACUCAGGGGCAAGAAUGAAGCUUAAAUAUUAGCUGACUCAGAACAUAGCAAGUGCUCAGUAAUGGCUUCUGGAACGAACCCGUGGUUGUCACCAGCAGGAGUGACGAAAGCUAGAAGCCGUUUCACCAUCCAAGGAAGAGGAGGAACAAUAUUUUUCUCUUUGGAGUUCCCACACUCAGAAGAGAGAACACCAGCAUAUGAACACAGAGUGUCACAUGAUGUAGGAAACAUCCUGUAGGUAGAGAGUAUAAUUCCAAAGCUUAGGAUCCUGCUAGUUCCUUGUGCAGUGCUUCCGGUGGGCAACAUGGUGCCUCCCCAGUCCCUCAGGCUUGAGGCGGGCCAGCACAGCUUCUCUGGGAGCCAGGUCAUUUCAGAAUUUAACCCCAGAACUAGGUCACCCCAGGCAACACAAGGCUCCUCUCCCUUGGAUACAGGAAGCGGAGGAAAAGGCCAGGCAUGCUCAGGGGCAAACCAACACCCAGGUGAAAGGGAGCUGGGCUGGUUUCGGGGAGCAGCCUGGUUUCAGGGAGCCGGACUCACGAUGUGCUUGAGACCCUCAAAUUCACCCCUGGAAGCAGCUGCCCCCGUGACAAGGAACUAAGGACAGGCAUGUCAUGGACUGUGAAUUGGAGUGACAUUUGUCCCUCCCUUCACCAACAGACUGCCCCAAGAGCUUCCCAAGUUAUCUGCCAUAGAAUACCUUGUUUCCCUCGAGUCUCUGAAAGGGGGCCGCAAAAGCUGUCCCCACGCUGGAAAUGCAGGGCCAGGCUUUUAAAGUUUUGCUCCCGGAUUAUGAGAACACCUAGAAAAUUCAGUGCUCCUCUCCACUCCCCCAAACCCCUUCACAAGCCCCCACCCUUUGUUUAACAAACAUAUAUAUAGUGCUUUCCUGGUACCAGAUACUACUUUAAGCACUUGACAAAAUAUUUAGUCAUACAUAAAACCCUUAUAAUUACACUGUAAUUCACUCUCGUCAGAUCCAGUCAUUGUGAAGAAACGGAGGCACGGGGAGAUUAAGAGAGCUACUUAAGAAGACACGGUGCCAGGUUUCUACCCAAGCCAUUUGGAUCUAGGGUCUGGAGGCCAUGUGAGCCAUUUUGCAUUAGAUUAACGCUUUAAUUCAGUUCACAGUUAGACAAUAUACGUUCCCCAUCUAUAUCUAUACCCAUCUGGAAGGCAACAAAAAGAUAAUAAACUGAUAGUGUCAUGUGCCCAUGACCCAGCUAACAAAGAGGCUCUGGGUUCCAAUGCCCCAGUCUUUCAUGGGAUUCCAUCGACCUCAUGCCCUGCUCCCCUCCCCAACAGAGAUGGAAACAUUAUCCUGAAUUUUGUGUUUAUCAUCCCUUGUUUCUCUCUAUAGUUUUUCCACUUAUGGUUGUAUGAUUUUUGUUUGUUUGUUUUUUGAGACGGCAUCUCGCUCUGUCACCAGGCUGGAGUGCAGUGGCGUGAUCUCGGCUCUACCUCCCAGGUUCAAGCCAUCCUCCUGCCUCAUCCUCCCGAGUAGCUGGGACUACAGGCACACGCCACCAUGCCCAGCUAAUUUUUGUAUUUUUAGUAGAGACGGGGUUUCACCUUAUGGUUGUAUCUUUAAACAAUGUCUUGUUUAGUUUUGCCAUGUUUUUGGACUGUGAAUAAGUAGAAUUAUUAUGCUGUGUGAAUUCUUCUGCUACUUGCAUUUUUGCUGCAACGUCAUGUUCCUGAAAUUCAGCCAGGAUUCAUUUAUUCCUUUUCACUGCUGUGUGAUAUCCCAUUGUAGGCAAAUAGUACACAAUAUUUAUUUAUUUUCCAGAUGGGAUCUCAUUCUGUCACCCAGGCUUGUAGUGCAGUGACCCCAUCACGAUUCACUGCAGCCUUGAACUCCUGGGCUCAAGCAAUCCUCCUGCCUCAGCCUCCUGAGUUGCUAAGGCCACAAAUAUUUAUCCAUUUUACUGCUAAUGCAAUUUGAGCUGUUUUCAACUUUUUCCUAUUAAAACAUUAUUGCUAUGAACAUUCUUAUAAAA
This 2590-nucleotide long non-coding RNA is filed under the name Homo sapiens (human). RNAcentral's name for it is "HSALNT0346364". The record is from RNAcentral. Lineage: Eukaryota; Metazoa; Chordata; Mammalia; Primates; Hominidae.